GACGUAGGGCGCGAGCGUUGUCCGGAUUUAUUGGGCGUAAAGAGCGCGCAGGCGGUCGUUCAAGUCGCGUGUGAAAGCCCCCGGCUCAACUGGGGAGGGUCACGCGAUACUGAUCGACUCGAAGGCAGGAGAGGGAAGUGGAAUUCCCGGUGUAGUGGUGAAAUGCGUAGAGAUCGGCAGGAACACCCAGGGGGAAACCAGUCGACUGGGCAUCUACUGACGCUGAGGUGCGAGAGCGUGGGGAGCGAACCGG
RNAcentral lists this ribosomal RNA (253 nucleotides) under uncultured bacterium. RNAcentral's name for it is "partial 16S ribosomal RNA". It matches the Rfam family "Bacterial small subunit ribosomal RNA", at positions 524 to 776 of the family's 1533-position model. The record is from RNAcentral.